GUGGCUGUAGCUCAGUUGGUAGAGCCCCGGAUUGUGAUUCCGGUUGUCGUGGGUUCGAGCCCCAUCAGCCACC
This is a transfer RNA of Kingella oralis ATCC 51147, 73 nucleotides long. It matches the Rfam family "tRNA". Rfam says of the family: Transfer RNA (tRNA) molecules are approximately 80 nucleotides in length. NCBI's taxonomy places the organism in Bacteria, Pseudomonadati, Pseudomonadota, Betaproteobacteria, Neisseriales, Neisseriaceae. The record is from Rfam.